AGAGCGAACGCUGGCGGCAGGCCUAAUACAUGCAAGUCGAACGGAUCCUUCGGGAUUAGUGGCGGACGGGUGAGUAACACGUGGGAACGUGCCCUUUGGUUCGGAACAACUCAGGGAAACUUGAGCUAAUACCGAAUGUGCCCUUCGGGGGAAAGAUUUAUCGCCAUUGGAGCGGCCCGCGUCUGAUUAGCUAGUUGGUGAGGUAAAGGCUCACCAAGGCUACGAUCAGUAGCUGGUCUGAGAGGAUGAUCAGCCACACUGGGACUGAGACACGGCCCAGACUCCUACGGGAGGCAGCAGUAGGGAAUCUUGCGCAAUGGGCGAAAGCCUGACGCAGCAACGCCGCGUGCGGGAGGAAGGCCUUCGGGUUGUAAACCGCUUUCAGGGGAGACGAAGCUUCCAGGGUUAUAGCUCUGUGGAGUGACGGUAUCUUCAGAAGAAGUCCGGCUAACUACGUGCCAGCAGCCGCGGUAA
RNAcentral lists this ribosomal RNA (474 nucleotides) under uncultured bacterium. Its description in RNAcentral is "SSU rRNA". It matches the Rfam family "Bacterial small subunit ribosomal RNA", at positions 26 to 523 of the family's 1533-position model. The record is from RNAcentral.